ACGGGUGAGUAAUGCUUGGGAAUCUGGCUUAUGGAGGGGGAUAACUACGGGAAACUGUAGCUAAUACCGCGUAGUGUCGAGAGACGGAAGUGCGGGACCGCAAGGCCGCAUGCCAUGAGAUGAGCCCAAGUGGGAUUAGGUAGUUGGUGGGGUAAAGGCCUACCAAGCCUGCGAUCUCUAGCUGGUCUGAGAGGAUGGCCAGCCACACUGGAACUGAGACACGGUCCAGACUCCUACGGGAGGCAGCAGUGGGGAAUAUUGCGCAAUGGGGGGAACCCUGACGCAGCCAUGCCGCGUGAAUGAAGAAGGCCUUCGGGUUGUAAAGUUCUUUCGGUAUUGAGGAAGGAGUGUAUGUUAAUAGCAUACAUUAUUGACGUUAAAUACAGAAGAAGCACCGGCUAACUCCGUGCCAGCAGCCGCGGUAAUACGGAGGGUGCGAGCGUUAAUCGGAAUUACUGGGCGUAAAGCGAGCGCAGACGGUUACUUAAGCAGGAUGUGAAAUCCCCGGGCUCAACCUGGGAACUGCGUUCUGAACUGGGUGACUAGAGUGUGUCAGAGGGAGGUAGAAUUCCACGUGUAGCAGUGAAAUGCGUAGAGAUGUGGAGGAAUACCGAUGGCGAAGGCAGCCUCCUGGGAUAACACUGACGUUCAUGCUCGAAAGCGUGGGUAGCAAACAGGAUUAGAUACCCU
RNAcentral lists this ribosomal RNA (690 nucleotides) under uncultured bacterium. RNAcentral describes it as "bacterial SSU rRNA". It matches the Rfam family "Bacterial small subunit ribosomal RNA", at positions 102 to 788 of the family's 1533-position model. The record is from RNAcentral.